UGCUCUAAAAGUGGAAAGCAAGGUGAGAUAAUCCACAUUUAAAGCCUCUUUUGGGUGUGUUGGCCACAUCAGCACCGAGGAACCUCCAGCAAAGCCCAACUGCAAUAAUUACUGAUUCUUUCAUGUUUUGAGGCUGUUGAGAUGGGAAGGCCCUAAAAGAAGCAGAACUCCUGAAUUCCCUGAAUAUUCCCAGCACUCACCAGGAAGUCAUGGCACAGCCUGCAACACUUUUAAGCAAAUCCCACCAUUUGAAAUCCAAACUUUGCUUUAGAGAUGUCUUUAUUUACCACCAAGGAGAUGGAAUUACACACAAAAUAUGGAAUUACACACAAAACUCAGCUGAGAGCUGGAGAUGCUGAACACGGAGGUUGCAAGAGAUGUCUGGAUCCAGAAGGGUGAUGACUGGAGGAAAUAGCUGCGAGCUGCUGUGACCAGAGACUUCCUGGUGGGUGCUGGG
Molecule: long non-coding RNA, 457 nt
Organism: Pseudopodoces humilis (Tibetan ground-tit)
Lineage: Eukaryota; Metazoa; Chordata; Aves; Passeriformes; Paridae
Source: RefSeq, a predicted model, not a curated record